UUAAUUGAAACCAAAAUUUGAGGUAUCUUAUUGUUAAUAAGAAAAUUGAAUAAUAAUUCUAAUUAAA
RNAcentral lists this transfer RNA (67 nucleotides) under Atkinsoniella uniguttata. RNAcentral describes it as "tRNA-Asn". The record is from RNAcentral. Lineage: Eukaryota; Metazoa; Arthropoda; Insecta; Hemiptera; Cicadellidae.